AAAGUCGUAACAAGGUCUCCGUUGGUGAACCAGCGGAGGGAUCAUUACCGAGUUUACAACUCCCAAACCCCCCAUGUGAACCUUACCGACCCGUUGCCUCGGCGGGUGCCCCGGGCGCGUCGCAGCCCCGGACCAAGGCGCCCGCCGGAGGACCAACAUCGCAAAACUCUCUCCGAUUCCUCCUCUGAGCGUCCCCCCUCCCGCAAGGGCCGGGGACGAGAAAAGCAAAAAUGAAUCAAAACUUUCAACAACGGAUCUCUUGGUUCUG
This 268-nucleotide unclassified non-coding RNA is filed under the name Ascomycota sp. RNAcentral's name for it is "partial contains small subunit ribosomal RNA, internal transcribed spacer 1, and 5.8S ribosomal RNA". The stretch from base 1 to 47 matches the Rfam family "Eukaryotic small subunit ribosomal RNA", at positions 1785 to 1831 of the family's 1831-position model. The record is from RNAcentral. Lineage: Eukaryota; Fungi; Ascomycota.